GGGAUACCGUUUAAGUGAGGAAUUGUUUUAAAUUAUAAAUACCUUUUUCCUUAUUUCUUUUCCUCCAUCGCCGAUCUCGAUCUAUUUCUUCCCCAAACCCCAUCACCGAUCCUUUCCCAGACCCGACCUCCUCCUUCCACUCUUCCCCGAUCUUUCCUCCCCGCCAUCGAUUCUCUCUCACGGACGACUUGGCGCCGAGAUCGGAGGAGCACCUUCGGCGAUUGUCGGUGUUGCCUGAGGAGGAAGUCACCGGAGCUCGACGGAAUCCAAGCUAUAUUCGAUCGAGGGGUCGCUGCUUCGGUGAUUUCUGUGGCCGAGUGUCGACGAUCAGUGGCUAGGGCACGGUGAGAGCUAGAUCUUGCAUCGUCUCCUAUCGGUAGGCCUUCCCUCUCCUCCCUUGCGUCGACUGCCGACACCACUGGAAUCGAGUCAGAUUUGAUCGCCGGCAUGAAGGGGCGAUUAGGGCUUCAAGGUGUCCGAUCCUUCUUCCUGUUCAUCGACAAGAAUUUCACCGUGCCUAACUGUGAUCUUGAAGUGAUCUUCUUGUUGAUGUUGUCUUAAGCCGGUCCAGUGAGGAGGAAUUCCAGUAUCUUGCUCGAUUGGUGAUCUCCACCGCUUGACCUCCUGUUGAUUCGAUUGAUAUCGGUGGAGGGUUGUUUGCUGUGGAUAGUUACUGUUGCCGAUCACCACUUUCUCCUUCUUGAUCCGGUUGAUUUCAGUGAGGACUCUGAUUUGAGACAGGAGUCUCGACGUUUGAUUUGGCGUGAUACUACCUGUUAUUUGAGGCGGG
This is a long non-coding RNA of Zingiber officinale, 790 nucleotides long. RefSeq lists it as uncharacterized. The record is from RefSeq and is a predicted model, not a curated record. Lineage: Eukaryota; Viridiplantae; Streptophyta; Magnoliopsida; Zingiberales; Zingiberaceae. The transcript has 4 exons.